This 399-nucleotide ribosomal RNA is filed under the name Triticum aestivum (bread wheat). RNAcentral's name for it is "partial small subunit ribosomal RNA". Lineage: Eukaryota; Viridiplantae; Streptophyta; Magnoliopsida; Poales; Poaceae. The record is from RNAcentral.
AUGCACCGUUACCCCGACCCAAUAUCAUUAAACUCUUUCAUUGCACAUCUUGAGAACCUCUUGCUUGCUGACCCUGAUCCUAUUCCUGACAACUCCCCAGAUACUGGAAACUCUAGAGCAACAAGAUCAGGCGACCCUCCAACGGCUGACCAUGGGCAGUCGAAAAAGCGCAAGAGGUUAGAUGUUUGGGAUUACUUCACCAAGCUAUUUGCACGCGACAUCAACGGGAAGGUUUUGACAUUUGCGGCUUGCAACCACUGCUGCAAGAUACUGUCAGGCAGCUCCAAGGGUGGGACAACACACCUCGCAAGGCACGUGUGUCCGUGCAAGUUCAAGCCAGUAGUAGCUGGCAGAAGUGCCAAGGAUUCCGGCGGCGACGCCAAUGUCCUAUCGUCCUAA